Small nucleolar RNA from Pseudophryne corroboree (corroboree frog), 71 nucleotides. Lineage: Eukaryota; Metazoa; Chordata; Amphibia; Anura; Myobatrachidae. The record is from RefSeq and is a predicted model, not a curated record.
CUUCUGUUGAUGAUAACCUUGUCCAGUUCUGCUACUGACUGUCUGUGAUGACAUUGACCAAUCUGAAGAUG